Molecule: ribosomal RNA, 546 nt
Filed under: uncultured delta proteobacterium
Lineage: Bacteria; Deltaproteobacteria
Description: partial 16S ribosomal RNA
Source: RNAcentral
UCCAGGCGGUAACUUAAUGCGUUAGCUGGGGCACUGAAGAUUUUAAUACCCGCUACACCGAGUGUACAUCGUUUACGGCGUGGACUACCAGGGUAUCUAAUCCUGUUCGCUACCCACGCUUUCGCGCCUCAGCGUCAGUAUCGGUCCAGAAAGCUGCCUUCGCCAUCGGUGUUCCUCCUGAUAUCUACGAAUUUCACCUCUACACCAGGAAUUCCGCUUUCCUCUCCCGUACUCAAGUCUUGCAGUUUCAAAUGCACUUCCAGGGUUGAGCCCCGGGCUUUCACAUCUGACUGACAAAACCGCCUACGCGCCCUUUACGCCCAAUAAUUCCGAAUAACGCUUGCACCCCCCGUAUUACCGCGGCUGCUGGCACGGAGUUAGCCGGUGCUUCCUUCACGGGUACCGUCAAUACUGACGNCUAUUAGACAANAAUAAUUUCUUCCCGGUUGACAGAGCUUUACGACCCAAAGGCCUUCUUCACUCACGCGGCGUUGCUGCGUCAGGGUUGCCCCCAUUGCGCAAAAUUCCUCACUGCUGCCUCCCGUA